RNAcentral lists this ribosomal RNA (420 nucleotides) under uncultured bacterium. RNAcentral describes it as "bacterial SSU rRNA". It matches the Rfam family "Bacterial small subunit ribosomal RNA", at positions 355 to 774 of the family's 1533-position model. The record is from RNAcentral.
UGGGGAAUCUUGCACAAUGGGGGAAACCCUGAUGCAGCCAUGCCGCGUGGAGGAAGACACCCCUAUGGGGCGUAAACUCCUUUUCUGCGCGAAGAAACCCCUGUUGUUCAGGGCGUGACGGUACCGCAGGAAUAAGGACCGGCUAACUCCGUGCCAGCAGCCGCGGUAAUACGGAGGGCGCUAGCGUUGUUCGGAAUCACUGGGCGUAAAGGGCGCGUAGGCGGACCACCAAGUCAGGGGUGAAAGCCCUGGGCUCAACCUAGGAAGUGCCCUUGAAACUGAUGGUCUUGAGUCCGGGAGAGGAGAGCGGAAUUCCCAGUGUAGAGGUGAAAUUCGUAGAUAUUGGGAAGAACACCGGUGGCGAAGGCGGCUCUCUGGACCGGCACUGACGCUGAGGCGCGAAAGCGUGGGGAGCAAACA